This 253-nucleotide ribosomal RNA is filed under the name uncultured bacterium. Its description in RNAcentral is "partial 16S ribosomal RNA". It matches the Rfam family "Bacterial small subunit ribosomal RNA", at positions 524 to 776 of the family's 1533-position model. The record is from RNAcentral.
UACGUAGGGUGCAAGCGUUGUCCGGAAUUAUUGGGCGUAAAGAGCUCGUAGGCGGUCUGUCGCGUCGAAUGUGAAAACCCGGGGCUCAACCCCGGGCCUGCAUUCGAUACGGGCAGACUAGAGUUCGGUAGGGGAGUCUGGAAUUCCUGGUGUAGCGGUGAAAUGCGCAGAUAUCAGGAGGAACACCGGUGGCGAAGGCGGGACUCUGGGCCGAUACUGACGCUGAGGAGCGAAAGCAUGGGGAGCGAAUGGG